GGUAGAGCGCAACCUUGCCAAGGUUGAGGUCGCCGGUUCGAAUCCGGUCAUCCGCUCAA
RNAcentral lists this transfer RNA (59 nucleotides) under Acidimicrobiaceae bacterium. Its description in RNAcentral is "tRNA-Ser". It matches the Rfam family "tRNA", at positions 17 to 71 of the family's 71-position model. Rfam says of the family: Transfer RNA (tRNA) molecules are approximately 80 nucleotides in length. The record is from RNAcentral. Lineage: Bacteria; Bacillati; Actinomycetota; Acidimicrobiia; Acidimicrobiales; Acidimicrobiaceae.